GGGUGCAUGUGAAAACUGUGGAGCAAUGUCCCAUGACACUAGGUCAUGUAUGGAAAGGCCACGCAAACUGGGAGCAAAAUGGACAGGGAAACACAUUGCUCCUGAUGAGAAGAUAGAGCAGUUUGAGCUGGACUAUGAUGGUAAAAGGGAUCGUUGGAAUGGUUAUGAUGCUGCUUCUUAUGCCCAUGUCAUUGAACGAUAUGAAGCAAGGGAUGAAGCAAGAAGGAAAUACCUCAAAGAGCAACAACUUAAAAAAUUGGAAGAAAAAAAUAACAAGGAUGACAAAGAAGGAGGUGAUAGUGACAAUGAGGAUUGUGAGGAUGCUUUGAAGGUAGACGAAGCGAAGGUUGAUGAAAGCAAGCAAAUGGAUUUUGCCAAAGUUGAGAAGCGUGUGCGGACCACUGGUGGUGGUAGCACAGGGACUGUUAGGAACCUGCGUAUUCGGGAGGAUACGGCUAAAUAUCUUCUCAAUCUUGAUGUAAAUUCAGCACACUAUGAUCCCAAAACACGGUCCAUGCGUGAAGAUCCUCUUCCUGAUAUGGACCCGAACGAAAAGUUCUAUGCUGGCGAUAACCAAAACAGAGUUAGUGGUCAAGCAUUGGAGUUCAAGCAGCUUAAUAUUCAUGCCUGGGAGGCUUUUGAUAAGGGUCAUGAUGUUCAUAUGCAAGCAGCUCCAUCCCAGGCAGAAUUGCUCUACAAAAAUUUUAAGAUUAACAAGGAGAAAUUGAAGGUGCAAACUAAGGAUGAUGUCAUGGAGAAGUAUGGCAAUGCAGCUAGUGAGGACACACUUCCAAGAGAACUCCUACUGGGUCAAAGUGAGAAAGAGGUUGAAUAUGAUCGUGCUGGUAGGAUUGUGAAGGGACAGGAGAUGUCACUUCCUAGAAGCAAAUAUGAAGAGGAUGUUUACAUCAAUAACCACACCACUGUUUGGGGUUCAUGGUGGAAAGAUCACCAAUGGGGUUAUAAGUGCUGCAAACAAACAAUCAGAAAUAGCUAUUGUACUGGUGCUGCUGGAAUUGAAGCAGCAGAAGCCUCUGCUGGUCUUAUGAAAGCCAACAUUGCUCGUAAGGAGGCUGCUGAAGAUACACAUGUGCCUGUCGAGGAGAAGAGGCAAGCUACUUGGGGGACUGAAGUACCGGAAGAUCUGAUACUAGACCAGAAAAAGCUCACUGAAGCUAUAAAGAAGGAAGAGGAGAGGAGACGAGAAGAGAAAGAUGAACGGAAGAGGAAAUAUAAUGUUAAAUAUAAUGAUGAGGUUACACCUGAAGAAAUGGAGGCAUAUAGGAUGAAGCGGGUUCACCAAGAUGAUCCAAUGAAGGACUUCCUUCACUGAAUCGUAGAUAUGGCCAAAUUGUUCACCUCUUAGGGAAAACAUCAGUUGGGACCAUGUGCCAGUCUUAGGUGAAAUUGGGUAUGAUAUUUUCUUUGUCGAAAAUUGUAUUGUGAUGAAGAGUCUGUGUUGGGAUUGCUUGAGAUCUAUUUCUUCUUUGAUUUAGUACCUUAAAGUUGUAUACAACUGCAUGACACACUCUUUAAGAACAUAUGUACAAUAAGAUACCUAAGAAUUGGGAAGCAUCUAUGUACGUGUAAUGUGCUGUAUUCACC
Molecule: unclassified non-coding RNA, 1605 nt
Filed under: Hevea brasiliensis (rubber tree)
Lineage: Eukaryota; Viridiplantae; Streptophyta; Magnoliopsida; Malpighiales; Euphorbiaceae
Source: RNAcentral